Long non-coding RNA from Dicentrarchus labrax (European seabass), 3047 nucleotides. RefSeq lists it as uncharacterized. The record is from RefSeq and is a predicted model, not a curated record. The transcript has 4 exons. NCBI's taxonomy places the organism in Eukaryota, Metazoa, Chordata, Actinopteri, Moronidae.
CUCGAUUCCCGGCCGAGCCGCACGUUUUGAUACCUUUUUUGUGUACGUGCGACAAAAGCUGCGGGAGAAGAAGCGCGCCGAAAAACGUACGGAAGAAGAAUAAUAACUAGAAAAUUCCUAAAGAAAUUUUGAUUGUGCCUUGCUCUGGCCCAUAUGUUAAUACCAUGUCUACGUGCUAACCGCUAUUUAACCGCUAAUCGCUAGCUACAUGCUAAUCACUAGCUAAGCGCUAAUCGCUAGCUAAGUGCUAGCUGUGGUUAAUGUGUUUAAUUGUAUUAUGCUCCUGAAGGAGUGCUAAUGUAAAUUAAGGAACAGCUCAUAGUAGGGUAAAAUAUUUAAGGUGUAUUGUUCUUAUUUUGUGUUAAUAUUAAAAUCAUUCAGCUUUAAAUUGUUUGCUUGUUAGCCACCUGCUAAUUAUCUUUAGCUAGUCAGCUAGCGCUAGAUUAUUAAUGCCAUGUAAUCCUCCCUAUAGCAUAUUGAUAACCUGUCAUCCUCCUUAGCUAGCGCUAGCAUAUUAAUAUCAUGUCAUUCUCUUUAGCUAGCUAGCUAGAGCUAGCACACAUAAACACAUAAACCAAAGGUAGCGCUUAGCUACGUGCUAAUCGCUAGCUAACCGCUAAUCGCUAGCUACAUGCUAAUCACUAGCUAAGCGCUAAUCGCUAGCUAAGUGCUAGCUGUGGUUAAUGUGUUUAAUUGUAUUAUGCUCCUGAAGGAGUGCUAAUGUAAAUUAAGGAACAGCUCAUAGUAGGGUAAAAUAUUUAAGGUGUAUUGUUCUUAUUUUGUGUUAAUAUUAAAAUCAUUCAGCUUUAAAUUGUUUGCUUGUUAGCCACCUGCUAAUUGUCCUUAGCUAGCCAGCUAGCGCUAGCUUAUUAAUGCCUUGUCAUUCUCUGUAGCUAGCUGUGUGUGUGUGUGUGUGUGUGUGUGUGUGCAGGCUUUGGUUGUCAUGGCAAUCAGGGGAGCCCACAGCAGCUGCGCACGCUCUCUCUCUGUCUCUAACUCCUCAGAGAGACAGAAACAUUUAAAAUGAAUCCCCUCAAAAGCAUGGCCAGGAACGACCGAAAUGAAAACCGAAAAGACCGUGAGCGUCGUCAUCUUGUUGACUAUAGCACUGCCGAGUUUCAGUGGUUAAAGUUAAAAAAUGUGACCUGGGGAGAUUGAGAGAGAAGAGGUUCAACGAGCGUUUUUCAAGAUUUGUCCUCUAAAAUUAACAUGGGAGUAGAUGGGGCCGUGAGAGGGUGUUGCUGGCGCAUCAGUGCGUCUCCCGCCAAAACUAUUUGUCUGACAGCUUCAGCAGUGGUAUCACUGCGACCCCAACGAAUUUACCUACGUUUCUAUCUAUAAAUUAUUUCUGUAGAGUGAAAUUUGUGGCCAUGACAGCAGUUUACAAAUUUAUUUUUCAACAAAUUUUUCCCUUCUCCCCACACUCUAGCGAUGAUGUCACGCACUCUGGCAGUUUUUUUCAGUUGGAGGUUCUCGCAAUACACACCCAUUCAUUUUUUUGACCGGUUUUUGGCGAUUUAUCGGCAAACCGUUUGGCGAAAUUCUUAGAAAAGUCAUAGCACUCGAUUCCCGGCCGAGCCGCACGUUUUGAUACCUUUUUUGUGUAUGUGCGACAAAAGCUGCGGGAGAAGAAGCGCGCCGAAAAACGUACGGAAGAAGAAUAAUAAUAAGCCCGAGGAAGAGUAGUAUUGUGCUUGCUUAUGCAAGGCACAAUAAUAAGUAUGGGGAAUAAUAGUAUUGUGCUUGCUUAUGCAAGGCACAAUAACUAGAAAAUUCCUAAAGCAAUUUUGAUUGUGCCUUGCUCUGGCCCAUAUGUUAAUACCAUGUCUACGUGCUAACCGCUAAUCGCUAGCUGUGCGCUAAUCGCUAGCUAAGUGCUAACCGCUAGUUGCUAGCCAAGUGCUAGCUUUGGUUAAUGUGUUUAAUUGUAUUAUGCUCCUGAAGGAGUGCUAAUGUAAAUUAAGGAACAGCUCAUAGUAGGGUAAAAUAUUUAAGGUGUAUUGUUCUUAUUUUGUGUUAAUAUUAAAAUCAUUCAGCUUUAAAUUGUUUGCUUGUUAGCCACCUGCUAAUUAUCUUUAGCUAGCCAGCUAGCGCUAGCUUAUUAAUGCUUGUCAUUCUCUGUAGCUAGCUGUCUGUGUGUGUGUGUGUGUGUGUGUGUGUGUGUGAGCAGGCUUUAGUUGUCAUGGCAAUCAGGGGAGCCCACAGCAGCUGCGCGCGCUCUCUCUCUGUCUCUAACUCUUGAGAGAGACAGAAAACAAUUAAAACGAAUCCCCUCAAAAGCAUGGCCAGGAACGACCGAAAUGAAAACCGAAAACACCGUGGGCGUCGUCAUCUUGUUGACUAUAGCGUUGCCGAGUUUCAGUGGCUAAAGUUAAAAAAUGUGACCUGGGGAGAUUGAGAGAGAAGAGGUUCAACGAGCGUUUUUCAGGAUUCCUCCUCUAAAAUUAACAUGGGAGUAGAUGGGGCCGUGAGAGGGCGUUGCUGGCGCAUCAGUGCGUUUCCCGCCAAAACUAUUUGUCUGAAAGCUUCAGCAGUAGUAUCACUGCGACCCCAACGAAUUUACCUACGUUUCUAUCUAUAAAUUAUUUCUGUAGAGUGAAAUUUGUGGCCAUGACAGCAGUUUACAAAUUUAUUUUUCGACAAAUUUUUCUCUCUCCCCACACUCUAGCGAUGAUGUCACGCACUCUGGCGGUUUUUUUCAGUUGGAGGUUCUCGCAAUACACACCCAUUCAUUUUUUGGACCGGUUUUUGGCGAUUUACCGGCAAACCGUUUGGCGAAAUUCUUAGAAAAGUCAUAGCACACCAUUCCCGGCCGAGCCGCACGUUUUGAUACCUUAUUUGUGUAUGUGCGACAAAAGCUGCGGGAGAAGAAGCGCGCCGAAAAACGUACGGAAGAAUAAUAAUAAUAAGUAUGGGGAAGAGUAGUAUUGUGCUUGCUUAUGCAAGGCACAAUAACUAGAAAAUUCCUAAAGCAAUUUUGAUUGUGCCUUGCUCUGGCCCAUAUGUUAAUACCAUGUCUACGUGCUAAUCGCUAGCUCUGCGCUAAU